CGGGACGUAGUUCAGCCUGGUAGAGCGCUUGCAUGGGGUGCAAGAAGUCGCUGGUUCGAAUCCAGUCGUCCCGACCA
Molecule: transfer RNA, 77 nt
Filed under: Alphaproteobacteria bacterium
Lineage: Bacteria; Pseudomonadati; Pseudomonadota; Alphaproteobacteria
Description: tRNA-Pro
Rfam family: tRNA
About the family: Transfer RNA (tRNA) molecules are approximately 80 nucleotides in length.
Source: RNAcentral